RNAcentral lists this ribosomal RNA (253 nucleotides) under uncultured bacterium. RNAcentral's name for it is "partial 16S ribosomal RNA". It matches the Rfam family "Bacterial small subunit ribosomal RNA", at positions 524 to 776 of the family's 1533-position model. The record is from RNAcentral.
UACAGGGGGUGCUAGCGUUGUUCGGAAUUACUGGGCGUAAAGGGCGCGUAGGCGGCUCAACAAGUCAGAUGUGAAAUCCCGGGGCUUAACUCCGGACGUGCAUUUGAAACUGUUAGGCUAGAGUGCAGUAGAGGAUGGUGGAAUUCCCAGUGUAGAGGUGAAAUUCGUAGAUAUUGGGAGGAACACCGGUGGCGAAGGCGGCCCCCUGGACCGGUACUGACGCUGAGGCGCGAAAGCGUGGGUAGCAAACGGG